Molecule: ribosomal RNA, 253 nt
Filed under: uncultured bacterium
Lineage: Bacteria
Description: partial 16S ribosomal RNA
Rfam family: Bacterial small subunit ribosomal RNA
Source: RNAcentral
UACGGAGGGUGCAAGCGUUAAUCGGAAUUACUGGGCGUAAAGCGUGCGCAGGCGGUUUGUUAAGUCCGCUGUGAAAUCCCCGAGCUCAACUUGGGAAUUGCAGUGGAUACUGGCAAGCUGGAGUAUGGUAGAGGAAGGUGGAAUUCCCGGUGUAGAGGUGAAAUUCGUAGAUAUUCGGAAGAACACCAGUGGCGAAGGCGACUUACUGGACACAUAUUGACGCUGAGGUGCGAAAGCGUGGGGAGCAAACAGG